RNAcentral lists this ribosomal RNA (917 nucleotides) under uncultured bacterium. RNAcentral's name for it is "bacterial SSU rRNA". It matches the Rfam family "Bacterial small subunit ribosomal RNA", at positions 8 to 942 of the family's 1533-position model. The record is from RNAcentral.
AGAGUUUGAUCCUGGCUCAGGACGAACGCUGGCGGCGUGCUUAACACAUGCAAGUCGAACGAUGAAGUGGAGCUUGCUCCACGGAUUAGUGGCGAACGGGUGAGGAACACGUGAGAAACCUGCCUCGGAUUUUGGGAUAACAAAUGGAAACGUUUGCUAAUACCAAAUAACGUCGGAGAGUCACAUGACUUUCUGACGAAAGGAAUUCCGAUUCGAGAGGGUCUCGCGGCCUAUCAGCUAGUUGGCGGGGUAAUGGCCCACCAAGGCAACGACGGGUAGCUGGUCUGAGAGGAUGGUCAGCCACACUGGGACUGAGACACGGCCCAGACUCCUACGGGAGGCAGCAGUGGGGAAUCUUGCGCAAUGGGCGAAAGCCUGACGCAGCAACGCCGCGUGCGGGAAGAAGGCUUUCGGGCUGUAAACCGCUUUCAGCAGGAACGAAAAUGACGGUACCUGCAGAAGAAGGAGCGGCCAACUAUGUGCCAGCAGCCGCGGUGAUACAUAGGCUUCAAGCGUUGUCCGGAUUUAUUGGGCGUAAAGAGUUCGUAGGCGGCUGAGUAAGUCGGGUGUGAAAAUUCUGGGCUUAACCCAGAGACGCCACCCGAUACUGCUUAACUUGAGUUCGAUAGGGGAGUGGGGAAUUCCUAGUGUAGCGGUGAAAUGCGCAGAUAUUAGGAGGAACACCGGUGGCGAAGGCGCCACUCUGGAUCGAUACUGACGCUGAGGAACGAAAGCAUGGGUAGCAAACAGGAUUAGAUACCCUGGUAGUCCAUGCCGUAAACGGUGGGCACUAGGUGUGGGAUUCUAUUAACGAAUUCCGCGCCGUCGCUAACGCAUUAAGUGCCCCGCCUGGGGAGUACGGUCGCAAGACUAAAACUCAAGGAAUUGACGGGGGCCCGCACAGCAGCGGAGCGUGU